UAAUAUUAUUAGUAUUAGUAUUAGUAUUAUCCAACGUUUACAUUAGGAUUCACUUUUCUAUGGGUUUUACCAAAUGCAUUAGACUAUCACACAGAAUAGCUGUCCUGUCCUGAAAGUCCCCUAUGCCCCACCUAUUCAUCCCUCCCUUCACUUUCCCCCAGCCCCCAGCAACUCCUGGUCUUUUCAAGGUCUCCAUGGUUUUGCUUCUUCUAGAAUGUUACACAUCAUGUAGCCUUUCGGACUAAUUUCUCUCCCUUAGCAACAGGCAUUGAUGGUUCCUCAGUGUCUUUUCUGUGCUUUCCUGAUGUGAUAGCUCAUUUCUUUUUAUCACUAAAUAAUAUUUCAUUGUCUGGAUAUACCACACAGUUUACUGAUCUAUCCACCUACUGAAGAAUUGGUUGUUUACAAUUUUGGGCAAUUAUAAAUAACACUGCUAUAAAUAUCCACGUGCAGGUUUUUGUGUGGACAUCAGUUUUCAACUCCUUUGCAUAAAUACCAAGAACUGUGACUACUGGAUCAUAUGGCAAGGUCUUUUGGGUUGAGUAUCAAUGAAUCAUUUCCUUCAUAUUCAGAUGAAAGAUAUGCCUGGGUAACUCAGGUUCCCACCCUGCUUUAUCUUAACGAUCCAUACAUUGCAGAACUUCAAUGAUACUAGGAGACAUGAAAUCUGUUAAAACCCUUAAUAUUGUCCCUGGUACACAGAGGCACACAAGAAAUACUUGUGGAAUAAACACUAGCUACUAAAGAUACUUGAUGCUGAGUUCUGAAGUCUAUUAGGCACAAAUUAUCAACUUCUCCACUGACUGUUUCUCCUCCAUGAUUCUCCAGGACUGAACUUUCCCACAAAGGAAAGGGUCUUUAGGGCAAGAGAUUGCAAAAGGCAGCAAAUCAAUGGGAGAAUUCCUGCAAAACUUUCUGUGAGGGGACAGAAUGAAACAUCUUUUAUUCCAAGAUAUUUUCAAGUCCAUCCCGAUAGCAGUGUGGAACAACUCAGAAACAGUCAAAAUGUCUGGAUUCAGUUCCUUGCUCUAUUGUUUAUCAAUGUGCGGCCUUAUGUUAUUGGCCAAACUGAUUUGAGCCCAAGUUUGUUUUGUUUUGUUUUGUGUUUUAGAGAGAGAGAGAGAGCGCACACACAAACAAGUGGCGGGGGGUGGCAGAGGGACAGAGAGAAUCUUUGGCAGGCUCCAUACCAAGCAUGGAGCCCCAUGCAGGGCUCAAUCUCAUGACCCUCAGAUCAUGACCUGAGCAGAAAUCAAGAGUUGGAGGCUUAACCAGCUGAGCCACCCAGGCACCCCCAAGCCCAAGUUUUUUAAACUGCACAAUGAACAUAAAUGUAGUGCCUGCUUUACCAACAUGAAGUGGUAAAGCUUUGUGAACAAUGCCUGCGUGUGUGUGCCCACAAGGGGAGAGGAAGAGGUUAGUCUUCCAUGGAGUGCCCUGGUGCACAUGAUACACCGGAUGCAUGGCAGAUGGCACCGUAGUCUAAUAUGCUAACUGCCAACGAAGUUCACCUGAGCCACACUGAGUGGAUGUCUGUUCUCCCACCCAUGUAGGUCCCUCUGUACUCACACCCCAGCCUCACUCCUGUAGCCAUGUGCAAGUUCAUGCUCCUGACACUUGUGCUCUGGAGCCCAUCCCUUCUCACCCAACACAUUCCUCUGGCAAUUGUCCACCCACUCCUGCAUCAUUGAGUUGUUGUUCCCUAGUAGAUCAUGCCUAGCACACAAAUGUGCUGUAAUAACUUCUUCCAUUAUAAAUUUUUUUUUAAUUCUCCUUGUGCCACAUCCUCCUCUAGCUACCAUUCCAUUUCUCUUCCUUUUAAGAGUAAAACUCCUCAGAGUAGUCUGCCUCCUGUCCAGCUUCUUCCACUCCCUCUGGAAUCCAUUUCAAAUAGCUCUCAUCCUCAUUACUUUAUUGAAAUUGUUAGUGUGAAGUCACCAGUGAUCUCCAUGGUGCUACACACAAAGGUCAGUUCUCAGCCUCCCCUCACUCACCCUGUCCAACACUGGACACACUUGCUUAUUCUCACUUCUUAAAACACUUGGUUCACUUGACUUAUGGGACUUUGUUCUGCUCAGAAUCCUAGAAUGGGAAUACCUCUCACAUGGAAUAAAAAACAAAGCUUUAGAAUGGCUCAAAAGGCCCUCUUUGACUACUCUUCUGUGAAGGUUCUUCCAGAUAACCAAAUAAUUCAUUUCCUGAAUUCCAUCAGCUCAAAUACCAGUUUCAGUCUGCAAGUCUUUCCCUGACCCCCUAGGUAAAAUAACUGCCUCCCUAACUUAUCUCCCUUAUUUGAAGCUUAAUAUUACAAUCUACAUUAUACAAGUAUAGGUUUACUUAUUUUAUAUAAACUUGUUUUGUUCAUGGCCCUAUCCCCAGCACCUACAGCAGUGUCUGCACAUAGUAGGAAUUCAGAUACUUAAGAAGUGCUCCAGUGAAGAAAUCCUAAGCCCUGGAAACUGAGCAGAGGCUGUACACAUAGCCAGCCUUCAAUGUUUAGUUCAGAAAGGAGAAGUCAGAAUAGAAGUGGACAGUGCUAGGGAUGUUCUGUGCUAUUUAUGUUGGAUCAGGUAAAUUUCUCCCCGUGAGAGUAUGAAGUGGGAUAAAAGCGACAUGAUGCCUUUGAAAAGAUUCUACAGUACCAAAGAAAAUGCUGAUGUCCUGUUUGGUAUCCUAAACAGAAGCAUAUGAAGAUAUGAUCUCUAUAAAAUAAGAGGAAGGAAAUUCAAGAACGAAUUGACAAACAUGAAACGACAAGAGAGUACGAAGCCACUGGUAUAAGAAAAAAAUGCAAGGAAACUCAAAAUCAGAAUUUAAAUGUUCCUUUGACACAGAAUCAUAAUAAGUAUUCAGAAAAUUAAUUGUUGCAUCGUUGGAUCAUUUGAGGUUCCCUUCCAAAAUGCAGAACAAAAGUGGAAAAAAUGCAUUAAAAAGAUAAAAAUUAUUAACAAGGUUAUUAUCUUCAGUGAUUUCUGUUGUUGUUCCUAUAUACUUUUUUCUAUUUCUAAAUUUUUCACAAUGUAUGUGUAGAAUCAUAAUAAUCAGGAGGAAAGGGAAAGGAAAAAAUUAAAUAUGUAUCUUAACACUAUUUGUUUAUAGCCUUUUUUUUUUUUUGGAAAGGACAGGAAAUUCUUUUCUAGCUCACUGGGCCCCUGCAGCCUACUAAUGCUAUUCUUUCCGUCUAGCAUCCAAUGACAUAAUCUAGAAAUUCCCCUAACACUUAUUUUGUUGGAUAUCACUGUAGGAUUUGGCUUUUUUAAUAUGACUAGAUCUCAGAAGGAUUCCGAUACUUUGGAUGCAAUUGGGAGUAUUGAGAAACAAACACGAAACAAAGGGUAUUGUUUUCUUCACUUUCCUCAACUUUUUAAAAAAGAUUUAUUUAAUUACUUUAGAGACAGAGAGAGAUUUGAGAGAACAAAAGAGAGACAGCAUAAGUGGGAGUGGCAGGGAGAGGGAGAGAGAAUCUCAAGUAGACUCCAGGCUGAGCGAGGAGUCUGAAACAGGGCUGGAUCCCACCACCCUAGGAUUGGGACCUGAGCCAAAAUCAGGAGUCUGAUGCUCAACCAACUGUCCCACCUGGGCACCUCUAUCUCUACUGUGCCCAACCAUUUUGUUUAAAUGCCUAUUAGGGCAAAGAGUGUCAAUCCACUUAAAGUACAUAUUUUGGGGCUCUCUGGGUGGCACAGUUGGUUGAGCACCCAACUCUUAUUUUAAGCUCAGGGUCUGAUUUCAGGAUCAUGAGAUUGAGCCCCAAUCAGGUUCUGAGCUCAGCGAAGUGUCUGCUAGAAUUUCUCUCCCACUCCCUCGUCCCCUCCCUGCACUUAAACACUCUCUCUCUCUCUUUAAAACAGGUGAAUAAAUCUUAAAAAAAAAAAAAAGUACAUAUUUUGGGCAAGGGAUAAGAAAAUGUGCUUGGGCUACUGGGCCUAUGUGAUUGUUAGUGUUCUGAUGGAGAAUCUGCCUCAGGAUUCUACAGCCCUUAUGUGGUGGCCUUGGCUGUUUUGGGUAAGCUUCCAAUACUGCAGUCAGGGUUUUUAAACUGCAAUUGGCCCUGCUAAUAUAUAGUGUUAUUUCUUUCCCUCCUUCCCCAAAUUUGCAAGCUUGUUUCUUCUUAAAUGCGCCAUGAGAUGAUGCAUGAAUGCAUUUUAUUUCCUCAAUGGAAAUGUAGAUGCUGCACAGCUGUUAGACUUGAAAUCACCAGGUGGUACUUGGAAACAGGAACUAAGAUGCUGUUGCCAGGGUAACCACACAUUCUUCCAGCUAUGGGAAGAGCUGCCAUGUUUUCUAUGCUCUUAGGAAUAUAGUUAUAAAAGGAUUGGCUUAGUGCAUAUGAAUAUUUACUAUUUAAAGAGAGCACUCAUUUCUUCAUAAACCAGUAGAAUAUUUUUUGAUUAUUCAUAUGCCUCAAAAAGACAUUUUAUCUUUUCAGGGCAUCAGGUGUCAUCUUUCUUUGCCAUUAUAAUUGUAAGGAUCCAGUACUAAUAUUUUAUGGUACCAGUAACAUACCAGUACACCUCGUUUUAUACAUUAGAUUCAUUUUAAGUAAGCAAUUAGAGCUUAGUAUUUAUACCAUUGUGAAUUCUGUAAGAAGAAUGUAUUUAAUUCAUCAGUCAUCUCCCUAGAAUCUGGGAGAUCUAGAGGCUAAUCUGAGAUUCUCAAAAUUGCAGGCAUUUGACAAAUCUAUAAGGUGGGUUGGGACCACUCUGGCAAGGAAGGAGUAGUUCCACACCACUCAGAACAAAGCAGAAAUGAAGCCAAUGACACAAAUAUUCUUCCUUCCUCCCACCCUCCCUUCUUUCCUUUUUUAAAGAUCUAUUUGCUGAGCCCCUAAUUUGCAUUAGGGCUGUGGCCAGGGCUGUGAAAGUUUCUCUAGAGAUUAAACCCAGCAGUGGAGGUGAAGGUAGUAUGGCCAGCUUCAUCCACAGUCCUAGGUUUUGUCAAAUUGUUUUCCAAAGUGGUAGCGUCAGUGAAAUCCUCCCAUGAGCAAUGCAUAAGAUUUCUGUUUGUUCUGUUUGUUCUACAUCCUCAGCAACACUUGAUCUCUGGUGGAUGCAAAAUCCUAUCUUCUGACCUUUUAAACUUUGCAUUGCCCUGAUCACUGUGCUCUCAUGACAACUAGAUAUUUGAGCUUUCUUUUCCGUAUAUUGCUUGUUCAUAUCCUUUACCCAUUUUUCCAUUGGGUUGCCUUUCCUUUAUUGAUUUAUAGGGAUUCUUUAUGCAUUCUCUUCAUGAAUUUUUUUAUUAUAUAUUUAAAGCUCUUUCUUCCUUGCUCACUGGUCUUUCAUUGCUUAAGCAUCUUUUAAUUUCUGAAGUUUCUCAUUUUAACCUUAUCAAGCUUAUUUUUUGUCCGUGUUCUUCUUUAUGUUUUUUACACAUUUAAGAAAUCCUACCUAUUCCAAGUUCACAAAAAUGGUUUUUUAGAUGUUUAAAAAUUGUGCUUUUCACAUUUAUGUCUUUAAGCUAGUUAAAUAUAGUUUAAGAUAGUUAAUUUUUGCUUAUGGUGUGAUAUGGGAAGCUAAUUUUUCUUUUUUUCCCCUACUGUACCAAAAUCCACUACUGAAGCAUCAAAAUUUUCCCCAAUCUGGCCUCUUACAUAUACCAUGUUUUCAGAUACAUGUGGAUCUGUUUCUAAACGUUAUUACUAUUCUGCCUUAAUGACUAUAGCUUCAUAGUAAGUCUUGAUAUCUAUUAAAGUAAAAUUCUGCACCUUGUUCUUCUUCAAAAUUAUCUUAACUAUUAUGGGCUCUUUGCUCUUCCAUGUAAAAUUCAGAAUAUCUUGCCCAACUGCUAUUGUCAUCAUAAAUAUUUUACGCUAUGGAUUAUGUGACUGAUUUUUACACACAAAGAUUAAUCAAGUGCUAUACAAUCUGAUCAGCGGGUGCUUGGCUGCUAAUUAAGUUGCAUAUAUGAAUUCUAAAAAUGCCAUACCCCAAAAUCAUAUCAAAAAAUGAUUGCUGAAUGACUUUGGUUGAUUAUGGACAUUGACAGACUUUGGAUCUUUCCUCAGAAACAGACUCGGCCAUCUCACUCUACUUUGUAUGAUGCUACCAUCAGUAGCCAGUGGCUCACUGUCCUCUCUGGAUCAGUGUUAGUAGGUAGGCAGGAGCUUCCAUGAUUCCUGAAGGAGGAGGAAACCCUAGCACCAGCAUCAGUAUGGGAGGUGAGACUGAAAAAUGUUUCACUUAGGGAUGCCUGGGUGGCUCAGCAGUUGAGUGUCUGCCUUCGGCUCAGGGCAGAUCCUGGAGUCCCAGGACCAAGUCCCGCAUCGGGCUCCCUGCAUGGAGCCUGCUUCUCCUUCUGCCUAUGUCUCUGCCUCUCUCUCUCUUUCAUGAAUAAAUAAAUAAAAUCUUAAAAAAAAAAAAAAAGAAAGAAAAUGUCCCACUUCGUCUAUACUACUCGCCUAGCACCUCCAUGCUGCUUGCCCCUCAGAGUUCUCAACAUUAAUCACAUCUCUAGGAUUGGAUUUAAAUUAAUCUUUGUACAUUCAGAAACUUCAGACUUGUCACUGCUUCAGCAGCAAAUGUAUGAAUCUUGGGGAGCUAAGAUAAUCUUACAUGUAUCUUUACAUUCCUCUCAUAUAUUUACUACCUUUUUUAAAAUUAUAAUAAUGUAUAAUAACUUGGAGCUACUAUAGCUAUCUCUGUCUUCAUCAAAUGCUGGGUAUGAGCUUUGAGCACAUUUUAUGCACCAAGCAUAAUUCUCAAUACUUUGCAUAUGACUUUCCAGAUCAUCCUUACAACACUCUUGCAAGGUAGAUAAUAUAAUCCCAAACUUACAGGUGAGGAGAUUGAAGACCAGAGAAGUUAUUGCCUAAGGAAGGUUCGUUAUACUAUAACUUAUAAGUAGUACAUUAUAGAGUGAAGAUUCAAGCCCAGAAAUGUUCAGAUUUCAAAGUCUUUGAUCCUCCCUAUAACACUUUAGACUAUGUUAAAAUCUUCUAGUUUAAAACAAUAAACAGGGGCAGUCUGGUGGCUCAGCGGUUUAGCGCCGCCUUCAGUCCAGGGCCUGAUCCUGGAGACCGGGGAUCGAGUCCCAUGUCAGCCUCCCUGCAUG
Canis lupus familiaris (dog) is the source of this 7053-nucleotide long non-coding RNA. RefSeq lists it as uncharacterized. NCBI's taxonomy places the organism in Eukaryota, Metazoa, Chordata, Mammalia, Carnivora, Canidae. The record is from RefSeq and is a predicted model, not a curated record. The transcript has 6 exons.